This 463-nucleotide ribosomal RNA is filed under the name uncultured bacterium. Its description in RNAcentral is "bacterial SSU rRNA". It matches the Rfam family "Bacterial small subunit ribosomal RNA", at positions 64 to 507 of the family's 1533-position model. The record is from RNAcentral.
GAGCGGUAACGCGGGAGCAAUCCUGGCGACGAGCGGCGAACGGGUGAGCAAUGCUUCGGAAUCUACCCUUUAGUGGGGAAUAACCAGCCGAAAGGUUGGCUAAUGCCGCAUACGCCCUAUCCUCUUGCGAGGUGUGGGGAAAGCGGGGGAUCGCAAGACCUCGCGCUAUUGGAUGAGCCGAAGUCGGAUUAGCUAGUUGGUAGGGUAAUGGCCUACCAAGGCGACGAUCCGUAGCUGGUCUGAGAGGACGACCAGCCACACUGGGACUGAGACACGGCCCAGACUCCUACGGGAGGCAGCAGUGGGGAAUAUUGGACAAUGGGGGCAACCCUGAUCCAGCGACGCCGCGUGUGUGAAGAAGGCCUGCGGGUUGUAAAGCACUUUUAGUGGGGAUGAAAAGCNCGGGUGUGAACACCUCCCGCUCUUGACCUAACCCACAGAAAAAGCACCGGCUAACUCUGUG